GUGUGCUUAGCUCAGCUGGAUAGAGCGUCUGGCUACGGACCAGAAGGUCGGGGGUUCGAAUCCUCUAGCGCACG
This is a transfer RNA of Anaerobium acetethylicum, 74 nucleotides long. It matches the Rfam family "tRNA". From Rfam's summary of the family: Transfer RNA (tRNA) molecules are approximately 80 nucleotides in length. The record is from Rfam. NCBI's taxonomy places the organism in Bacteria, Bacillati, Bacillota, Clostridia, Lachnospirales, Lachnospiraceae.